GGGAAUUCUGGGAGAUAUAAUUCAAGUUGAGAUUUGGGUAGGGACACAGCCAAACCAUAUCACAUCAUUCCUAAAGAACCACAUUAGCAUAAGACUUUUAAAAAAUAUAUAGCCUAAUAGUUUUACUUUUACCUGGGAAUGUCAGACAUAUCGACAAACUGCAUGUGUUGAUGCUUAAAACAUAGCAAGUUCUUCAAAACAAAUAUCUUGCAAGCUCACAGAUAAGCCUCAAGAAUCAUCAUUUCUUAUUCAUAUUUAAAAAUUAAAUAGGUUUUCAUCCGUGGCAGGGGUACGUCUAUAUACUUCAUUGGUAGUAAGAGAGAUUUUGCUUUAGGUUAGAAAAGUUUUUAUUUUUUCGGGUGAAUUAUGGCAAAUUCUACUGCCCUCUGUUCUUUAUUUUUGAAGUGUUUGUUUUUAAACAAAGUUUCUAUAAGAACUCAAAUGAAAUAAUAUUUAAAAACAUUGUAUCCUGGAAGCCCAAUAGUUGUACUUCAGACUCUAACAAAGACUUUCAAAGAAAAAAGAAGAGUAGAAAAAGAAUUGUCUUCUGUAAUUUGCCUCUCAUAUGAGUUUCUAGGUUUCAGGGCUACAUUAAAAUAGAAUUGUAAAAUAGGUGGGCACUUUGAAUACCAAUUUAUAAUGCAUUCAUUCAUCUAUUAACUGUUUGUUGAGUGUCUACCGAAUGUCAAACACUGUGCUAAGUACCUGGGAUAUAUUGAUGAGGGAAAACAGACACAGUCUCUGUCUUCAUAGUGCUGCAAGCUAAUAGGGCAGGGUAGUGGACAUCAGUAAAAUAAUCACAUAAGCAUGUGUAAAACUGCAAGUGUGACAAGCACUGUGGAGAAGAGGCGCAUGAUGCAAUGAGGGAAGCCUGCUCUGGAGACAUGAUGAUUAAAGUCUGAUUUGAAGGAAGAAGGUAGUAAAGAACUUGCUUAAGGAGGAAAGGGAGAAGGCAUGAAAAAGAGGGAACAACAUGUGCAAAGCCAAGUGAUUAUAGGGAAUAUAGAACUGAAGGGAGGUCAAGGUGGCUGGAAUUCUCAGUUAGAGAAAGCAGGAGUGUAGAUGAAGGUCAUACUCUUUCACUUGUUUCAUCAAUAUUUGUUGAGCACCUAUUAUGCACUUAAUAUUGUUCUAAGUGCUUGGAAUAUUUAAGUGCUCAGUUUGUUAUAAAAGUGAAGACACUGAAGAGUUUUAACCAGGCCAGGAUGGGGGUGGAGUGGUGAUAGGAUCAUAUGAUCAUAUUUGUGUUUUGCAAAUAUAACUAGCUCCAAUAUGGAGAAUGGCUGAGAAAAGGCCAGAGUAAAUUCUCUGGAUGAGUUAGAGGCUACUACAGUAAUUCAGCUAAGAGACAAUGAUAGCUUUGAUGAGAAGAGUGAUGCCAGAGAUGACCAGAGUAGGUGGCUUCAAGAGAUAAUUUCAGAUGCAAAAUAGGACAUUAUGAUAGACUGAGGGGGCAGAAAGGGAAAUGUUAAGGAUUCGUUUUCAUUUUCUAACUUGCACAGCUGAAUAGAUUUACAUAAAAUAAUGGCAAUAAUAAUAAUAAUCAACAUUACCAGUAGCUUCCACCUAAUUUUGGGGUGGUGAGGGGCUGUGGGUAGGAAUUACUGAGAUGUAGUCUUCAGUCAGAGUAGACUGAACUCACCAUAAAUGACCUAAAAUGAUUGCCUCAAAUCUCUUCCUGAUUUUUUUUUUCUUAGACAGAGUGGACAUGUCCCAAAUAUGUCAGAACUUCCCCAUUUCUGAUACUCCAGGUGAACAGCGAAGGCUUUCAUGCAUGGCUUUGGCCAUGCAAUAUUGCCAAGAGUCUUUUUUCCCCUUUAGACAAAGCUCCUUCUGAAAAGAGCAAUAAGACGUAGUUCCCAAAGAGUAAAUUAGGUAUCCAAUGGAAGGGGUGAAGCAAUGGCUGGAGAAGAAUAUACACCACACUCUCAGCCAGGAGCCAUGUAGGAUCAAAGUCUGCAGCAUGGAGAUACAGCGUGUGGGGCUGGAGCCAGGGUGAGUGAGAGGGCGUGGCUAAGAAAGGCUGAGGAAACACGCUGAGCUGACAUCCCCGGAGACCCUUUGUGCUUUGCUCAGGUUUGACUUUACCCUUAAAGGCAACAGGGAGACUUUGAAAAGGUUAGGAAAAUAUCAGGAGCAAGAUUAGAUUGGCAUUUUAGAAAGACGACUUUAUAAUAAUUUUUAUGCUGUUCUUACUUUAUGUACCUUUUCUGUAUAUGUGUUAUUUUCACAAUAAACAUGAUUUUAAAAAAAGAAGAGCUGAUUUUGUCUGCAGUGUAGAUGGGUUUAGACUCAAAAUGUGAGACAAGAUGCAGUUAUUUUCCUUUUUGGGUCUCAUUUAUUUAUUUGUAAAAAUAUGGGCAAUAACACCUCCUGGCAUUAUGUAUGUUAUAUUCCCAGCAUAUAGUACUCAAGUAAAUAUAGUUCUUAUUAAUUUUAAUGAUGAAAGGAGUCUGAAUUAAGGCAAAUGCAAUGGGAAUGGAGAAAGGGAAAUAGAUGGCAGUGAUGUUAAAGAGGUAGAUUGUACAAGCGUCAGGGGCUGAUUGAAUGCCUCAGGGAGGCAGGGUGAGGGAGUUGCCUUACUUCUCAGGGAUCCCACUUGGGUGACUAGGCAGAUGGUGAUGUAAUUUACUUAGAAAGAGAAAACAGGAAAAGUCCAGGGUUACUGGUGGAAGCUUGGGAAUGAGAGGAAUUAUGAGCUCAGUGUAGAACUUGUUAUACUUGGGAUGCACAUGGAGAUGCCUGGAGACAGUUGGCUCUGUGAGUCUGUAGCUCAGGGGAAGUUAAGCUCCAGGAUGGAUAUUGGGGAGUUGGUAUUUUCUAAGGAAAAUGUGCUCAGAGUAAUGAACAGAACUGAGAUUAGAAGCAUAGAGAGCAUUUUAAGAGAGAAACAACAGAACAGGAGGCAAAAAAAAAAAAAAAAAAAAAAAAAAAAGAAAAAGAAAAAAAGGAGAAGAAGGAGAUGAGGAAAAAAUGGUCCUAUAUAUUAAAAGUAGAAGGAAUUAUAAGACAAGAGAGGAGAAAAUUGUUAAGAGGAAAUGAGUAGUUAAUAUUGUCAGCUGCCACAAAGAGGUCAGCUAAGGUUUGCACUGGGAAAAAAAGAAGCAGUAGAUUUAGUAACGAUGGGGAGGGAGAAUAUCAGAGUUUUGCCAGAAACCCUUGAGUCUGGAGUGGUACGGCUGGAGUCCAGAUUGCAGUCUGUGGAGGAGUGGACAGGAGACCAAGAAAUUCUCGAGUUCUCUUCAGAGACCAACUGGGGAUCAACAAUUCAAUUUAAUUCUGACACCCAAGGAAGAAGAGAGUGCACCUGAUGUAGUAGCCACUGUAAGAACUGUGUUGGAGAAUGAUCCGAUUGGCCAGUGCAAGAGGGAUUGCAGAGAAGAAGAAACCACAAGCAGAAAAACCAGAUGAGGAAAUUAAGCUAAAUAUUAACUAUCUCAAGAAUAUUCCCAGAAGUGACUGCUAAAUUUAAAUCCCUGCUCACAAUGAAAUACUGUACAGCAGGGGUUCUCAAACUUUUUGGUCUUAGGACCCUUACAGCCUUAAAAAUUAUUGAGAACUCCAAAGAACUUUCAAUUAUGUGGGUCAUAACUACUGAUACUUACUGUAUUAUAACUUGAAACUGAAAAAAUUUUUAAAUAUUUAUAAACAUUUAAAAAUAAUAAACCCAUUGUAAGCUAAUGUAAAUAGCAUGUUUUUAUUAAAAAUCACUUUGUUUUCCAAAGCAAAAAAUGUAGUGAGAAGAGAGGCCUUCUUUUACAUUUUAAUAUCUGGCUUAUGAGAAAAUAGCUGAGUUUCUCAUUUCUGCUUCUCCAUUUAAUCUGUUGGUGUAUAUUUUAUUUAAAGUACAGUUAACCCUUGAAGAACGUGGGUCUGAACUGUGCAGGUCCACUUAUACAUGGAUUUUUUUCUAAUAAAAGUUGCAAAUAUG
RNAcentral lists this long non-coding RNA (3931 nucleotides) under Homo sapiens (human). RNAcentral describes it as "HSALNT0328401". Lineage: Eukaryota; Metazoa; Chordata; Mammalia; Primates; Hominidae. The record is from RNAcentral.